UUAUCUGUCAAAUAACGGGUCAAUUUGUCGGGUCAAUAUUACACAUUAUUUUGAAAAGCCCGGGUACGCAUCAAGACGGGUAGUUUUAUGUGUUGUCAAAUUUUGAACCGCUUUGUUGCAAGUCCGCUGGACUGUUUGGAGGAGGAUUUUAACUUUGCGUGGGCACAUGAGGAGGAUUCCGAACCAGAAAUGCUUCGUGAUAAAACUACGCUGGUAAAUGGUUGCCCUGUGACCACAAGCUGCGGAAAUCAUUAUGCUCCGAAAAGGCUGAAAUCGAGCGGUAGAAUGUUAAAAAUGAUUUGUGAAGAAAAAAAAAGUGAAAUGAUUAAAG
Uranotaenia lowii is the source of this 331-nucleotide long non-coding RNA. RefSeq lists it as uncharacterized. The transcript is spliced from 3 exons. The record is from RefSeq and is a predicted model, not a curated record. NCBI's taxonomy places the organism in Eukaryota, Metazoa, Arthropoda, Insecta, Diptera, Culicidae.